RNAcentral lists this long non-coding RNA (352 nucleotides) under Androctonus crassicauda. Lineage: Eukaryota; Metazoa; Arthropoda; Arachnida; Scorpiones; Buthidae. The record is from RNAcentral.
CAUUUUGGUCCGUCGAGGCAGAUGUGAAACGAGUAGACUAGUAGAAUUGAGCUCAUCGAGAAGACUGUCCCAAGACAUUUCAUCAUCUUGCCGAAAGUGAGUUCUUAUUUGUUAUAAUCAUAAGUCGAUAAUUCAAUCAUGAUGGAUGAACAAGUUCAAUUGAAACAAUUUAAAGCAAAAAGAGGCCAGAUAAAGUCUUCGCUCACACGACAUUCGAAGUUUGUGAGUGAGCGGGUAGACAAAGACAAUGUAACGGUAGAGGUGAAGAAUGAAGUUAGGGUUAGAUUAGAGCGACUUGCACCUUUAUUAGAUCAAUUCAAUGAGACACAAUACGAUAUUGAAUCUAUGGUUG